RNAcentral lists this ribosomal RNA (211 nucleotides) under uncultured bacterium. RNAcentral's name for it is "partial 16S ribosomal RNA". It matches the Rfam family "Bacterial small subunit ribosomal RNA", at positions 1290 to 1500 of the family's 1533-position model. The record is from RNAcentral.
AGUUCGGAUUGCAGCCUGCAACUCGGCUGCAUGAAGCUGGAAUCGCUAGUAAUCGCGGAUCAGAAUGCCGCGGUGAAUACGUUCCCGGGUCUUGUACACACCGCCCGUCACACCAUGGGAGUAGGUAAUGCCCGAAGUCGGUGACCUAACCGGAAGGAAGGAGCCGCCGAAGGCAGGACUUAUAACUGGGGUGAAGUCGUAACAAGGUACC